CAGCCGCCGCGGUAAAACGGAGGGCGCGAGCGUUACCCGGAUUUACUGGGCGUAAAGGGCGUGUAGGCGGCCUGGGGCGUCCCAUGUGAAAGGCCACGGCUCAACCGUGGAGGAGCGUGGGAUACGCUCAGGCUAGAGGGUGGGAGAGGGUGGUGGAAUUCCCGGAGUAGCGGUGAAAUGCGCAGAUACCGGGAGGAACGCCGAUGGCGAAGGCAGCCACCUGGUCCACUUCUGACGCUGAGGCGCGAAAGCGUGGGGAGCAAACCGGAUUAGAGACCCGCGUAGUCCCUGUCUCUUAUAA
RNAcentral lists this ribosomal RNA (301 nucleotides) under uncultured bacterium. RNAcentral's name for it is "partial 16S ribosomal RNA". It matches the Rfam family "Bacterial small subunit ribosomal RNA", at positions 509 to 809 of the family's 1533-position model. The record is from RNAcentral.